GACGAACCGUGCGAACGUUGUUCGGAAUCACUGGGCUUAAAGGGCGCGUAGGCGGGCUCGCCAGUCAGGGGUGAAAGCCCACGGCUCAACCGUGGAAGUGCCUUUGAUACUGCGAGCCUCGAGGGAGGUAGGGGCGUGCGGAACUUCCGGUGGAGCGGUGAAAUGCGUAGAUAUCGGAAGGAACAUCGGUGGCGAAAGCGGCGCGCUGGACCUCUUCUGACGCUGAGGCGCGAAAGCCAGGGGAGCAAACGGG
RNAcentral lists this ribosomal RNA (253 nucleotides) under uncultured bacterium. RNAcentral describes it as "partial 16S ribosomal RNA". It matches the Rfam family "Bacterial small subunit ribosomal RNA", at positions 524 to 776 of the family's 1533-position model. The record is from RNAcentral.